RNAcentral lists this unclassified non-coding RNA (207 nucleotides) under uncultured fungus. RNAcentral describes it as "partial contains 5.8S ribosomal RNA, internal transcribed spacer 2, and large subunit ribosomal RNA". The record is from RNAcentral. Lineage: Eukaryota; Fungi.
AAGGAUCAUUAAUGAAAUUGAAACGCCUUUCGGUCGUGCUGGCUUUUGCAAGUGCACACCGUCUGGUUUCAUCCAACACCCUUGUGCACCUUUGGCCUCGCGUUGUAAUGACGCGGGGAUCUUUACACAAACUCGUAUGUAACAGAAUGUAAAUCUAGUGCGUAAGCACGAAAUGUACAACUUUCAACAACGGAUCUCUUGGCUCUC